This is a non-coding RNA of Megalopta genalis, 556 nucleotides long. The record is from RefSeq and is a predicted model, not a curated record. NCBI's taxonomy places the organism in Eukaryota, Metazoa, Arthropoda, Insecta, Hymenoptera, Halictidae.
UAUAAUAUGGAAGGAGUGGAACAUUUGUACCGUGGGAUAUAUUAAUUUGCUAUACGAUUACGAUGCCAAAUUCCUGAUUUACUCUGUAAGCUUAUUAAAUUCCCCAAAAUCAGUAUUUUUGAAGAAAUUUCAUACAACGAUUACACAAAUAGCUUUUGAACAUUAAGGAACGAAAUCAGGUAAUGGAUUAUCAAUUCGCAUCAUAUUCAUACACCGCAGUGUCAACGAUGCUGGAAGCAGACAAUUCAGCCGGAUCACCGAUCAUUCACAGGGAAGCUGCAAAGGACAAGCUGCGACUGCCAUCGGGGAUCAAUGAGGACCAGAAACUCGGCUCGUAGAAACCGUGGAAAAUUCGUCGCCACUCGGCGCUGCUACGUUCGCCGACACUUUGCGAAGAAAUGCAGGUAUUUCGUUCUUGUCGAGGCCGCGCCAACCGCAAUCGACAUCGCAUGGAACUUCAGAAAACGAAGACACGGAACUUCACCGACGGUAUUCCCCCGAUAUUUAUUUCGAUCUUCACGGAACUUUCUCACAAUAAAAAUUUCAUUCGUUUUAA